This 433-nucleotide ribosomal RNA is filed under the name uncultured bacterium. RNAcentral describes it as "partial 16S ribosomal RNA". It matches the Rfam family "Bacterial small subunit ribosomal RNA", at positions 29 to 507 of the family's 1533-position model. The record is from RNAcentral.
AAUGAACGCUGGCGGCAUGCCUAACACAUGCAAGUCGAACGAAGGCUUCGGCCUUAGUGGCGCACGGGUGCGUAACGCGUGGGAAUCUGCCCUUGGGUUCGGAAUAACAGUUAGAAAUGACUGCUAAUACCGGAUGAUGUCGUAAGACCAAAGAUUUAUCGCCCAAGGAUGAGCCCGCGUAGGAUUAGCUAGUUGGUGGGGUAAAGGCCUACCAAGGCGACGAUCCUUAGCUGGUCUGAGAGGAUGAUCAGCCACACUGGGACUGAGACACGGCCCAGACUCCUACGGGAAGCAGCAGUGGGGAAUAUUGGACAAUGGGCGAAAGCCUGAUCCAGCAAUGCCGCGUGAGUGAUGAAGGCCUUAGGGUUGUAAAGCUCUUUUACCCGGGAUGAUAAUGACAGUACCGGGAGAAUAAGCGCCGGCUAACUUCGUG